CCCGCUUCGUACAAUUGAACUGAAGGUUGCGAACGUAAAGACAUAGCAAUGUUUAAAUUGAUCUGUAUUGAACAUUCAUGACCUCCUGAGAAUCUGUCAGACUUAAUAAAAACAUGACGUCGAUUUUCCUAUCAAGACUUGUCAGACAUUUGGUAAUCCUCCUUUCGGCUAUCAGUGAAGGAUACGGUCAGGCUUGCAACAUUACAAGCCCAAAAGACGACUAUGAUAUAAGUGUUCAAGUCGGAUCAAACUUUACUAUCAACAUUGCAUAUACAUGCGCACCACUUGAGGAAAU
Dendronephthya gigantea is the source of this 295-nucleotide long non-coding RNA. RefSeq lists it as uncharacterized. Lineage: Eukaryota; Metazoa; Cnidaria; Anthozoa; Malacalcyonacea; Nephtheidae. The transcript is spliced from 3 exons. The record is from RefSeq and is a predicted model, not a curated record.